UACGUAGGGGGCGAGCGUUGCCCGAAUUUACUGGGCGUAAAGCGCACGUAGGCGGCGCCGUAAGUCUGGUGUGAAAUCUCACGGCUCAACCGAGAGGCUGCACCAGAUACUGCGGCGCUCGAGGACGGGAGAGGAGAUUGGAAUUCCCGGUGUAGCGGUGAAAUGCAUUGAUAUCGGGAGGAACACCAGUGGCGAAGGCGGAUCUCUGGCCCGUUGCUGACGCUGAGGUGCGAAAGCUGGGGGAGCGAAAGGG
This 253-nucleotide ribosomal RNA is filed under the name uncultured bacterium. RNAcentral describes it as "partial 16S ribosomal RNA". It matches the Rfam family "Bacterial small subunit ribosomal RNA", at positions 524 to 776 of the family's 1533-position model. The record is from RNAcentral.